GCUCCAGACUCCUACGGGAGGCAGCAGUGGGGAAUAUUGGGCAAUGGGCGCAAGCCUGACCCAGCAACGCCGCGUGAAGGAAGAAGGCUUUCGGGUUGUAAACUUCUUUUCUGAGGGACGAAGAAAGUGACGGUACCUCAGGAAUAAGCCGCGGCUAACUGCGUGCCAGCAGCCGCGGUAUUCCGUAGGGGGAAAGCGUUAUCCGGAAUUACUGGGUGUAAAGGGUGAGUAGGCGGCAUGGUAAGCCAGAUGUGAAAGCCUUGGGCUUAACCCGAGGAUUGCAUUUGGAACUAUCAAGCUAGAGUACAGGAGAGGAAAGCGGAAUUCCUAGUGUAGCGGUGAAAUGCGUAGAUAUUAGGAAGAACACCAGUGGCGAAGGCGGCUUUCUGGACUGAAACUGACGCUGAGACGCGAAAGCGUGGGGAGCGAACAGGAUUAGAUACCCGAGUACA
This 452-nucleotide ribosomal RNA is filed under the name uncultured bacterium. RNAcentral's name for it is "bacterial SSU rRNA". It matches the Rfam family "Bacterial small subunit ribosomal RNA", at positions 328 to 797 of the family's 1533-position model. The record is from RNAcentral.